CUUCCGCCGGCGACCGGCGCACGGGUGAGUAACGCGUAUGCAACCUGCCCCUGUCAGGGGGACAACCCGCCGAAAGGCGGGCUAAGCCCGCGUACAUGCCACCGGGGCAUCCCGGAGGCAGGAAAGGCUUCGGCCGGACAGGGAUGGGCAUGCGGCGCAUUAGGCAGUAGGCGGGGUAACGGCCCACCUAACCGACGAUGCGUAGGGGUUCUGAGAGGAAGGUCCCCCACACUGGUACUGAGACACGGACCAGACUCCUACGGGAGGCAGCAG
RNAcentral lists this ribosomal RNA (273 nucleotides) under uncultured bacterium. Its description in RNAcentral is "partial 16S ribosomal RNA". It matches the Rfam family "Bacterial small subunit ribosomal RNA", at positions 82 to 354 of the family's 1533-position model. The record is from RNAcentral.